UACGUAGGGGGCAAGCGUUGUCCGGAAUUAUUGGGCGUAAAGAGCGUGUAGGCGGCCAGGUAGGUCUGGUGUGAAAACUCGAGGCUUAACCUCGAGAUGUCAUCGGAAACCAUUUGGCUAGAGUCCGGAAGAGGAGAGUGGAAUUCCUGGUGUAGCGGUGAAAUGCGCAGAUAUCAGGAAGAACACCAAUGGCGAAAGCAGCUCUCUGGGACGGUACUGACGCUGAGACGCGAAAGCGUGGGGAGCGAACAGG
RNAcentral lists this ribosomal RNA (253 nucleotides) under uncultured bacterium. RNAcentral describes it as "partial 16S ribosomal RNA". It matches the Rfam family "Bacterial small subunit ribosomal RNA", at positions 524 to 776 of the family's 1533-position model. The record is from RNAcentral.